RNAcentral lists this long non-coding RNA (552 nucleotides) under Brassica rapa (field mustard). Its description in RNAcentral is "long non-coding RNA (BRAP_LNC003271)". Lineage: Eukaryota; Viridiplantae; Streptophyta; Magnoliopsida; Brassicales; Brassicaceae. The record is from RNAcentral.
GCCCACUGAUCAGACUAAUAUUAAGACACAAAGCUGCAUAUGAAUACAUAAUUUUGGAUUAUUAAUGUCAGAUUCCUAACCUUCCGGAUACAACACCACAUGAGAUAUGUCUUGAUUCACUUCGUCGUUCGUCUUAGACUAUCUAGGAUGGUUUUAACAAUUCAACAUUUUUUUUUUGUUUUUUUUUUUAACAUUCCACAUCAUUUUGUCUCUUUUCCACCUAAUUAUUCAACAUCCAUUUCAUAUUUAAUCUCUACAAUAGUUUGUUUGAUAAAAUUCAACAUUUUUCUCCACCACUUUAAUUUAUAUUUUUAAUAUUUACUAUAGUAACUACAUAUUAAUAAUAUUUUUGAUUGUAACUACAAUAUAAAUUAUCUAAUUAGUUAUUAUUUUCAAAAUUCAUUUCUCACAAAGACAAAUUUAUUUUUUGCUUCCAAAUUAAAUGAAACAAAUAUCUAUUUAUAAAGUUUUAAAAAGGAUGAAACAUUAUUUUUGAAAUUUAUUCAUCACAAAGAGAAAUUGUUUUUUAUAUAUAUCCAAAUUAAAUAAAAC